AAUGUCGACAAUGGAUGCCUAGGUAGUUUUGGCCGAGGAAGGACGUUUGCUUAUCAACGAUAUCAUCGGGAAGGCGUUAAGCAGCCUGUGAUCCGGUGGUUUCCGAAUGGGGAAACCCGCCCCUUUAUGGGGAAUUAUGAAGUAAAGGCUUCGAUUUAUCGAAGAGAUAGUUUCAUAAAGGGCACCAGGUGAACUGAAACAUCUAAGUAACCUGUGGAAAAGAAAUCAUAUGAGAUACCGUCAGUAGCGGCGAGCGAACGCGGUAGAGUCUAAACCCCGAUCGCAAGAUUGGGGGGUUGUAGGGCAGUCAAUAUAGGAAAGAUGCGGAUAAGAGAAUAUUUUGGAAUAAGUAACCAAAGGGAGUGAAAGUCUCGUAUCUGAAAUCCAAAUCUUCUUUAGAUUGUUCCUAAGUACCAUGGAGCACGGCAUAACUCCAUGGGAAUCCGGGGCGACCACGCUCCAAGACUAAAUACCAAAACUGACCGAUAGUGAACUAGUACCGCGAGGGAAAGGUUAAAAGCACCCCGGUAAGGGGAGUGAAAUAGUACCUGAAAUUGUCGACUAACAAACAGACAAAGCUUACGAUUUAUCGUGAGUGAUGUCGUGCCUAUUGAAGAAUGAACCGAUGAGUAUCCCGACGAGCGCUUACGUCUAACCUAUUUUGUAGGGAAGGCAAAGUGAAAGCAAGCUCUAAGUGAGCGUCCCGACGUAAGUCGGGGAUGCGCUUGCGGGAUGGCCCGAAACCGGUGUGAGCUAAGCAUGAACAGGGUGAGUCCCGAUGAAAAUCGGGAGGAGGCCCGAACUCGUUGUUGCUGCAAAAACAUGAGAUGAUUUGUGCUUAGAGGUAAUAUGCCAAUCGAACCCGGAGAUAGCUGGUUCUCCCCGAAAUAUAUUUAGGUAUAGCGUCUAUAUUUAGUCCUAGGGGUAGAGCACUGAAUGGUCCACCAAGCGUAAGCGAGGCGGAUCAAUCAAACUCCGAAUACUAGGAUAUCGUAUAGGCAGUCAGUCCUACUCGGCUAAGCGAGCAAGGUCGAGCAGGGGAACAACCCAUACUCCCAAUUAAGGUCCCUAAAUUUUGACUAAGUUGUAAAUGAAGUUGAAUCGCUUAAACACCCAGGAGGUUGGCUCAGAAGCAGCCACCCUUUAAAGAGUGCGUAACAGCUCACUGGACGAGUGGUUCAGCGCAAAAAAUGAACGGGGAUAAGUCAAAUACCGAAGUUGGAGAUUUUCCCGAUUUAAUCGGGAGAGUGGUAGGGGAGCGUUCUUAUUGCAGUGAAGCAUAUGCUGUAAAGCAGUGUGGAGUGAUAAGAAGUGCGAAUGUCGGUAUGAGUAGCGAGAGUCCGGUGAGAAACCGGACCGCCGAAAGCCCAAGGUUUCCGUCCCAACGUUUGUCGGGGACGGGUUAGUCGGAUCUAAGGUGAGUCCACGCUAAGCGUGGGGUAACUCGAUGUAUAAGCCGUUGAUAUUCGGCUACAAAAUUGAGUGUAAGCAGGGGAUGACAAAAUGGGAGAUUUCAUACGGGGGUGUGAUACACCGUCUAAGCCAUAAGGUAGUGAUAGUUGGUAAAUCCAUUAUCAUGAUUAACUAAGUGGCGAUGGCAAGUCCAAGGCCGCAAGGCUGCGGGCAAGAUGAAAAAUCUUCAAUUUUUAGAAAAAGUCUCAUGUAGUCUGCCGUAAGGCAGACAAGCUUAAUUUUUCCGUACCGCAAACCGACACAGGUGGGCUGGUAGAGAAUACCAAGGCGACCGGGAGAAAACGCGUUCAAGGAACUCGGCAAAACAGCUAGGCGUAACCUUUGGGAGAUGCCUUGCCAGAUACCAUGCGGUAUCUGGUUACAACAAAAGAUGCUAACCAACUGUUUAACUAAAACACAGGCCUCUGCAAAGCCGAAAGGCAACGUAUAGGGGCUGACGCCUGCCCAGUGCACGAAGGUCAAGAGACAUGGGUGAACUCGCAAGAGGGAGCUUGAGUCUCAAGCCCGUGUGAACGGCAGCAGUAACUAUGAAUCAACAGUUUGUAGUUCUAAAAGUUGGCUAAAUGCUGGAACAUCCGUACCGUAAUCCGCCAGAAGGCGGACGAACGGUUGAAGUAUCUGACGCUACCAUGUAUCAUGGUGAUAAUGCGAUCAGCGCGGAAAAUCAGCAGGAAAGACUUGCUUAGGGAAAAUUUUGGAUAUUAUCUGGCGGGAUUUAUUGAAGGAGAAGGAAGUUUCAAUAUUUCUUUACGAAAGAAAUCUGAUUAUAAAGUCAGGUGGCAAGUAGUAAUGAGCUUUAAUGUUUCCCAGAAAGAUCCGACAUUAUUAUAUAUGUUGAAGGAUCGAUUAGAAUGUGGAAUCAUUAAAGUCAGAAAAAGAGACGGUCUUUAUUCAUUUGAUGUAACAAAUCCAACCGAUAUAAUCCAAAAAGUUAUUCCAUUUUUUCAAAAAUAUCCAGUAUAUUCUCUCUCCAAGAAGAAAAAUUUUGUAAUUUUUUGUAAGAUUGCGAAGUUAAUGGAGAGGGGACAACAUAGAAAUCAAGCUGGACUUCGAAAAAUCCUAGAACUUCGAGAGCAUAUCAAUGAAGGGAUAGGAAGGACGAGAAAAUAUGGAAUUAAUGAUGUGUUUCCUAAGUAAGAAUCCUCAGAGACUAUAUGCCAACUCCGUCAAUUGACGGAAUGAUAUAGUCCGACCUCAUAAGCGAUUAUGAGAGACGUAAUCAAUCGUCUGAAUAACAAUGUGAACUGUUCUAUGGUAGACCCGAAAAGGGUCCGCUGCCAUAGUGAGGUGUGAACCCUCCGUCAUG
RNAcentral lists this ribosomal RNA (2779 nucleotides) under Candidatus Gottesmanbacteria bacterium RIFCSPHIGHO2_01_FULL_39_10. RNAcentral's name for it is "bacterial LSU rRNA". The stretch from base 2 to 2121 matches the Rfam family "Bacterial large subunit ribosomal RNA", at positions 15 to 2044 of the family's 2925-position model. Lineage: Bacteria; Candidatus Gottesmaniibacteriota. The record is from RNAcentral.